AACGAACGCUGGCGGCGCGCCUAAUACAUGCAAGUCGAGCGAGAAGACGUAGCAAUACGUUUGUAAAGCGGCGAACGGGUGAGGAAUACAUGGGUAACCUACCCUCGAGUGGGGAAUAACUAGCCGAAAGGUUAGCUAAUACCGCGUACGCUCCUUGGACUUCGGUUCAGGGAGGAAAGCGAUACCGUGGGUAUCGCGCUCUUGGAUGGGCUCAUGUCCUAUCAGCUUGCUGGNGAGGUAACGGCUCACCAAGGCUUCGACGGGUAGCUGGUCUGAGAGGACGAUCAGCCACACUGGCACUGCGACACGGGCCAGACUCCUACGGGAGGCAGCAGUAAGGAAUAUUGCGCAAUGGGCGAAAGCCUGACGCAGCGACGCCGCGUGGGGGAUGAAGGUCUUCGGAUUGUAAACCCCUUUCGGGAGGGAAGAUGGAACGAGCAAUCGUUCGGACGGUACCUCCAGAAGCAGCCACGG
This 474-nucleotide ribosomal RNA is filed under the name uncultured bacterium. RNAcentral's name for it is "bacterial SSU rRNA". It matches the Rfam family "Bacterial small subunit ribosomal RNA", at positions 29 to 496 of the family's 1533-position model. The record is from RNAcentral.